This 428-nucleotide ribosomal RNA is filed under the name uncultured bacterium. RNAcentral describes it as "SSU rRNA". It matches the Rfam family "Bacterial small subunit ribosomal RNA", at positions 371 to 808 of the family's 1533-position model. The record is from RNAcentral.
AUGGGCGCAGCCUGAUGCAGCGACGCCGCGUGCGGGAUGACGGCCUUCCGGUUGUAAACCGCUUUUGACUGGGAGCAAGCCCUUCGGGGUGAGUGUACCUUUCGAAUAAGCACCGGCUAACUACGUGCCAGCAGCCGCGGUAAUACGUAGGGUGCAAGCGUUAUCCGGAAUUAUUGGGCGUAAAGGGCUCGUAGGCGGUUCGUCGCGUCCGGUGUGAAAGUCCAUCGCUUAACGGUGGAUCCGCGCCGGGUACGGGCGGGCUUGAGUGCGGUAGGGGAGACUGGAAUUCCCGGUGUAACGGUGGAAUGUGUAGAUAUCGGGAAGAACACCAGUGGCGAAGGCGGCCUACUGGGCACCAACUGACGCUGAGGCUCGAAAGUGUGGGUAGCAAACAGGAUUAGAUACCCUGGUAGUCCAAGGGCGAAUUC